RNAcentral lists this long non-coding RNA (12326 nucleotides) under Prunus persica (peach). RNAcentral's name for it is "long non-coding RNA (PPER_LNC008568)". The record is from RNAcentral. Lineage: Eukaryota; Viridiplantae; Streptophyta; Magnoliopsida; Rosales; Rosaceae.
GUUGGAGUGGGCUACUAGACCCCCCUUUUCAACCCAAUACAAGAACAUGACUUUUAAUAAUUAAGUUUUUAUUAUUAUUUGAAUUUGAAUAUUUACAUGACCUUUUUUUCUUAAGUUUUAACAGAAUUUUAACAGAAGGGACCACAUUUUCUAAAAUAUACAAAAACAUGGACUCAAUUAGCCAAAUUGAUAACACGAGGACUAAAGUGGUCAAUGAGUUAAAUUUGGAUCUAUAUCUAACUUUUCUAUUUUUUUUAUAUACCAAAACUACCCUCAUCCUUUUCAAGAUAUUCUCAACUCUAAGUACCCUCCUCCUAUCGUUCUCCUUCUUGCCAAUCUCAUCAAAACCCAUCGGAGGAGCUUAUUCCUCCUCCUCAUCCCCACCCCCACAGUAGCCCCAUCCUCAUCCAUGUAGCAGCCCCACCCCCUACCGUGCCAAGGGUAGCAUUCAUAUGUUCAAUCAAUGCUUGAAAUGGUAAAAAUGAACAACAACAAAAUUAACGAUAUAGUUUAUGGUUCUAUUUAAUUCAUUCGCCCUUUCAAACCAGUUGAGUAAAGGCCAUUAGACCCACUAACAGGGCCUAGUCUCGUGGAAAAUAUUGUUAACUUGACAGGACCCGCCCCGAAUUUCCCGAAACCCAAGACGAAUCUUGUGAAAAUUCCGAUAUCACUCCGAUGUCGAACCCAGUCACUAAAACUAAAGCCUCCUUUUCCAAAAGGAAUAAAGGCACGAGACUUUCUGCCGAAAUUUAGGCAGUCUCCCUCGUAAAUUGAACAUUCCCAAAAUUUCAACCUGCAAUAAAACACAAUUUAAAAAGCCAACUACCAGCACACACAAUGUAAUAGCACACAGUUUACAGACAAGGCCUCCAGCCUUCAAAUAAAUCAAGGCAGAACAACUAGUAGUACUCUUAAGUGAAUUAAUAUACUGACAAUGCAACUAAGGAACUCAAAUAAUUUUACAAGUACCACUGCAGUCAACAUGAAAUAACUUCCCAAGUUUUCAAUCUGCAAAGACACAAUAAUACUUCUCACAAAUUUCUAGCAUGCAUCAACUACCAUCUAUGAAUUUUCACCAAUAGUCCCAGGGGCCUCGGCCCAUAAUACCAUAUAAUCAAACCUAAAAACAUGUAUAACGUUUAGUCAACGACUGCACCUAGGCGCUACCCUAGGUUGCCUACGUACCCUUACUGAGGGAUCAAGCCACACGUAGUUCUUUCUACUAAAUCCUAAUUCCAAACACAUACAAUACCUUUAUUCAUCUCUCUGUUAAUCACAUAAUCUCCCCAUAUGCCGAAACAUCCAACGCCAUGUAUGGAGUCUGUCAGCAUGCCGAAAAAUCCUACUCCACGUGUGACCUAACAAUCAUAUCAUCUCCCCAUACGAGGCGUAUGAGGUCUGUCCUCACGUCGGAAAAUCCUACGCCACGUGAGACCUCACAAUCACAUAAUCUCCCCAUACUCUGGAACAUCCAAAGCCACGUAUGGAGUCUGUCGACACGCCGAAAAAUCAUACUCCACGUGCGACCUAACUAUUACAAUAUCUCCCUAUACGUCGAAAAAUCCAACACCACGUAUGAGGUCUGUCCUCACGCCGGAAAAUCCUACAUCACGUGGGACCUAACAAUUACAUAAUCUCCCCAUACGCCGGAACAUCCAAAGCCACGUAUGGGGUCUGUCACAACGCCGGAAAAUCCUACGCCACAUGAGACCUCACAAUCACAAUAUCUCCCCAUACGCCAGAAAAUUCAACGCCACGUAUGGGGUCUGUCAGCACGCUAAAAAAUCCUACGCCACGUGUGACCUAACAACAAUCAUAUCAUCUCUCCAUACGCCGGAACAUCCAAUGCCACGUAUGGGGUCUGUCCUCACGCCGAAAAAUCCUACGCCACGUGGGACCUAACAAUCAUAAAUCUCCCUAUACGCCGGAACAUCCAACGCCACGUAUGAAGUCUGUCUCAACGCCGGAAAAUCCUACUCCACGUGAAACCUAACAAUCACCGGAUGGUACUUACACAGUGUAAUCAUCAUCUUUAUAACUUUAAAAUAUAUAUAUAGAUAAAUUUCCAAUAUUGCCUAAACCUCAACCACAAUAUAGUAUCCGAUAUCCCCCAAUUUAAAACAAUAAAUUAAUAUUCUAUUCCCACAAAAUCAACUUAACUCAAGUAGCGGUUAAGACUCAUCAAUAAGGUCAUUUUAAUCCCUUUAGAAAGGUGAAACUAUCUCGGAAGACUCACGGUCAACCAAGAGUCAAACUACUCAAACUUGCUCAAACGGGCCCACAACCCCCAAAUUUCCGAAAGUUCCUAUGGGCUCUACAAGGAUCAGGAUACACUUCCUGCAAGUUUGGUUCAGAUCGGACGGUCGGAUCGCUCACGAUCGCACGAUCGGACGGUUAUUGUAAAAAUAGCCAUAGGAUUGGCACUUUCGGAGUGUCCGGGACUCCGUUUUACGAUCCGUCGAAUCCUAUACGAUCCUAAAGAUGCCUCGAUUAUCAUAUAUCAAAUUGGAGUUGAUCCAACGGUUUGAACAUGUCAAACCGGAUAACGCCUAUUAUGCGAUAUCCGAUUGACGAUCAAACGAUAACCAAAUUCAAAUCCGAGCAUACCGUCAUGCUCGGGACAACAAGAGGGUUAUUUUGAAACUCUAAGACAGGCCACCACAUGACCCACGCGCCACCCCACGCGCCGGCAGUGCGUAGGUGUCCAAAGAAAUUUCCGGCGGCCGGAAAAACUCCAAACCGCCGGCCAAGACUCCCAGGUUAGGUAAAUCACAUGUAGUGGAGCAACUUUUGUUCUUGAACCUACCUCAAAAAGUAGACGGAAGUGGCCGAAAACUGACAGAAUUUCAAUCGCUUAUUUAACCCCCUAAACACAGAAAUUUCUCAUUUCCCACACAACCAUCAGCUAGAACGUCUCGAGAGGUUGAGAAAGCAUACCUGGAUCGAAGAAAAUGGUGGUCGGAGGAGUCCGAACGAGCUCCGUGAAUUUUGGGUUAAAACCGGUCGGUUUUUGUCAUUUUUCGGUGAGCACAGGUGGUUCCAGCGGCUGAGGCUGGUCGGGAAGGAAAGAGUGAGGUGGCCUGGUUCUUUCGGGACCGGUACCUCCCGAAACGGUGGCCGGAUGCGACGGUGGUGACCCAAAAUCCCGGCUGAUGAAUAGUAACAGGGGGCUGUUUCUUGCGAAGGGAGAGGGAGGAAGCAGAAGAAGAAGAAGAAAAAGAAAAAGAAAAUUUAAAACUGCCCGGUUACUGUAGCACGAAACUGUUUGCUACACUAACAAAUUUUAAAAAUUACCUUUGCAUCCUUUUUGUUUUCAGACUUUUCCUUUUUCGUUACAACUCAAAAUUGGGCGUGCUGCAUGUCUACGAACUCAUGUCGACAAGCUCUACGUAAUGGUACCACUUACUUCUCCAAAAUCUUUUCGAAUCAGAAAAUAACCAAAAAACCCUUAUCCAAAGGGUAUAUUCGUAAAUUCAUAUUUAAAUUAAUUUAAUAAUUUAAUUGGGUAAAUAAAUUAGGGUCGGGGUGUUACAUAACUUGCAAACUAAUAGUUUCAUGUUCGAACUCUCAUGGCACCUUGGUAAUGUGCGUGAGAAAAUCCCCUCCUUAUUCCUAACUUUGGCAACCAAAAAAAAAAAGCGAGUCAUCAGGCCAUCAUAUAAAUUCAUCUCUUGUUGUUCGAUCAACAAAAAAAACUCAUCUUGUUAUUUUUUAUUUCAAAAUUAUUUAAUGAAUGCGUAGAACAAUAUAAUAAUGUAAAUAUAUUGGAUUAUUUAUCAUUAAACAUCAGUAAAAUUUUAAAAAUAUAGACAAUAAAAUGUUAUUAUAUAGUAUGAUGUACUUGCCAUUUUAAGUUUUUUUUUUUACUAGUAAGUAUACAAAACAUAUUUUAUUAUGUACAAGGCAUAUUAGUAAUCAAAUUGAUUUUGAUUCCUAUUACUGAAUACUUACAUAAGAAUGAUAUAAUAAUUAGUGGAAAAAAAAGAGGCCUGGUUUCAAACAAAGUACUAAUUACAUGAGUGGGAAAUAUAACUUCUGUUUACUUAUGUUACUCCAUUAAUAAAAUAAUAUAUUAAUUUGUAGCAACUCCGAUCUCUUGGACCAUAAGGGUCCAAGAGAUUUGUGGUCACCCACCGUUGAAUGUUAAUCUAACAGUUCAAAAGUUUCUUAAAAGGAGUACAAAAGCGAGUGAACCGCUGAAUUUACAUCCAACGGUGAGUGACCAUAAAUUUCGUGGACUCCUGUAGUCCAAGAGAUCGAGACUGUAAUUUGUAGAGGAAAUAGGUAACAAAUUUCCUAAAACCCUUGCUAUAUAUUUCUGUCCUGAAAGAUUUAAGGAGCCUCAAAUUUGGAUAUUGCAACCACUUGAGACGUUAAUUAAUUAGACUUUAGAGAACGGUUAGGAUAUUGCAAUUUUUGGAUAUUAUAUAUUCUUUCUCUACUUUACCUUAAUGACUCAUAAUUACCCACUAGCACUGUAACACAGCUUCAAGUUGAAGCCAUGGCAGAGGCGUGGGAGGGGAGAAAGACUACGUAUUUUUAUAGUGUUAUCUCUGACUAAUAAUACUAUAGUAUUCGUGAUAAUACUUCGAUGUGGCAUAACAUUAUUGGCCGAAAAUAACAAAAUAAUACUAUCUCCAUUACAAUUACGUUUUUAUCCGUGGGCUGCUCUUAGGCUUAUCUAGUCUUUAAAAUGCAGUUGAAGAAUUUAUUAUUAUAAAAAUGACGUGAGAGAGAGGGAGGGGGUCAUAUAUUUUCAGAAUAAUUUUGCUAAAAAACGAAAGCAGAAGAAUUAAUUAUUAUGAAAAUGACGUGUAAUAAAACCACAGGUUGUGUGACAUUGCCGUACGGUACAUGCAGUCGGUGAGUCCACAGAUGACCAUGCAUUUGUUUUGAGUCGGAUUAAGCAGUGAAUGGGGGCACUAGUUGUCCAUCUUUAUAUGACCCAAUGACUUAAGAUAUCUAUAUGCAUAGAGACUUUUAAAAAGUAGAAGCAAUACAGCCUUAGAAAGGCAGUGCGUGCAUGGAAAAGGAUUAUCUGGUCCCGAUAUAAAUUUACGGUACCUAAUACAUUAGCGCUAAUUGAUAAUUUUUUGAUACUCUAAUGAUAAGAUUGACAAUUAGUGUCGAAUUGAGAAUAUAUCAGGUACGAUAAGUGUCGAAUUGAGAAUAUAUCAGGUAUGAUAAAUUGAUAUUAAAUAUUUAGUCGGUAGUUGGUAGGUACUUAGUAGCUAUUAAGUAAAUAUUAUAUGAGAUAUGAAGAUCAACAUGAAUUAUAUCUUUGUAAUUAAGUAGCUAUGCUUGUAUCUGGUCUCGAUUUGUAUAUCUAUUAUUAGGUAAAAUACUUUGAGAAAGCACAAAUAGUUUGUGGACAUGAGCGAUAGAUACUGUGGUUGGAUUAUCAACAAUGACAGUGUGAACGACUUUUCUUCAUGGUGUGCUUUAGCUACAUCUUCUACGCUUCUGCGUUGGUCACAUUCAUGUAAUCUUGAACAUGAAGCAACGUACCACAAAGGCUACCAAAACUUUAAUAACUGUGGACCAGAAGGAAGCAGUAUAUAGGUCCUACUACCUGUGCAUUUUUGCUGACUAAUAGUUUGAUGCUUAAGGUAAAUCCAAUACAAUUAGUGUAAAUGUCGUUUUACUAUAUAAUUAGGUAUAUCCAAUACAAAAUAAAUCUUUAAUCUUGAACAUAUUUAUAUAGGGGAUUCUAUGACUCACAAAGAAAACCUACGGAUACAUUUAUGUUUAUGUUUAAUCUCAUUUUCUCUUUUGUAAUUCCAUCUACUUUUCAUAAGAGUUUGUUUGAAACAACUUAUAUAUAAAAACUACGCUUGUUUUUAGAUGAUUAUUGUGGUAGGAUGUAAUCAACAAAAUAGACAAACACGGUAUUUCAAGAAAAGAAUAUAAUAAAAACUAUCUAAUUGAAUGAUCAAAUAGUUUCGGAUCCAAGUGAUUGUCGCAGAGAUGAUCUUUGAAGAAAUAUCUAAAAACUAGAUGGUAUUGGAUUAUUGAAAUGCAUGGUGAGUCUUAUAAGGGUGUCUUUCAAAUAAACUUAUUUGAGAAAUCCCUCAACUAAAGCCAUAUCAGUCUCCUUCUCACAAUAUUUAUAUACACACCACACCUUUUGUGAAAAUCUAAAAAUGCUAAAUUAGAAAUGAAAACUGACAGUUAAAGAACUCUCAUGAUCACUCUACAAGAUUGUGACCUGAAUGAUGAAUCAGCAGCUUAAGUUCACCCCAUUAAUAAAAUCUUUUGCCGUUCCCAUCCCGCCUCUAAUAAAAGCUUACUUAAUACGUAGUCCCAUCAACCCCUACCAUCAAAGUAGGGGUUGAAUUUGGUGCUCUUUAGCCUUUAAUCACCACAAGAGUCACAAAUUCUUCUCUCUCCUUAUCUUUCCAACCCCACUGAUAUCUCAGGCAGGUCUAUAAAUAGGAAGAACCAAGCCAUAUUAUACUCACUCAGCAAUCAUCUCUUGCAUACUUUCAUAUAUACAUUAUCGUGCUUCUUGUUAAGCAAAACAUGGCAUCCUCAAAGGCUUUUCUUCUUCUUGGUCUUGUCUUUGCUGUUCUCCUCAUCUCCUAUGAGGUCUUAGCUAUUCCAACUCGUGAGUUUCUCACUUUCUUAACUAAAUCAUAAAUAUUAAAUUAGUAAUUGUAUCUUUCUUUCCAGUAACGAUUUGUGAAUUUAUGCACAUUUUAAUUAAGGUGCACUGGUCGUGAAAAUAAUUAUGCUUCGAACUCUUUUUCUACAUGUAGGGUUAGUAGUUGUUGCACUUGCAUGGCUUAAUUUGCAUCUUAUUAAAUACAAACCGAUUUAUGAUUGUUAUAAGUUAUGUAUAUUGUUUUUGCUUUAUAUAUAAAGUUUUUGGUUGUUCUCUCAGAGUCAGAGGAGAGUACAGUCAACGGUGAUGCCCGCGGAUUUGGAGGUCAUGGCCGCGGAUUUGGAGGUCAUGGCCACGGACAUGGAGGUCAUGGCCACGGACAUGGUGGUCAUGGCCACGGACAUGGAGGUCAUGGGCACGGACAUGGAGGUCAUGGCCACGGACAUGAAGGGUAUGGCCACGGACAUGGUGGAUAUGGCCACGGCGGCCACGGCCACCACGGCCACCACGGCCACCAUGGCAUAGGGAGGCCUGGUGCUGCUGAGACUGAAAUCAAGAAUUAGAUAACCUGUUAGUUUCUGUGACUUACGUUGCAGGUGUGUUGUAAGGGUAGCAGUACGAAAUAAAGUUGUUUGGUUGAGUAAUCUAUAUGAACUCUCAAUCAUAAACUGUCCUAAGCUUGUUCUCAUGUUUCUCAUGUUCUCUGUAAUGUACGCAUUGUAAUGUACGCAUUGGAAUGUGUUCUCUUGUUAUGUGAUAAAAUGUGAUGUAACUUUCUCAAUACAUAUUAUGUCAAAAAUGUUUAGUGUGGCUUGGCUCCUUAAAAUUGAGGGGGAGCACAUCCUCAUAACAAAUGAGAUUUUGGCACUAGUUAAACUUCAAAAAAAUAAAAAUAAAAAGAGGUUAAAAGAAUUCAAAUGAAAAAAAAAAUUAAAGGAAUUUGCCAAGUGUCAAAACUCUAUUUCUUUUGAGGAGGAACUGCUCCUCAGUUUUGUGGAGCCAAACUUUUUCCUAAUAUUAAUGGAGUUCAUGUAGACUCAUUUGUUUUGGGUACCAAAUUUAAUGAAUUGUGUAUUCAUUGGUGGACCCAUAAGCAUACAGUUUUUAAUUUAGGUGAGAUACUCUCGGCAAUUUAAAUCAUGUCAAAAACAUGAUAUCAAAAAAAAUCAGCCGUCAUCGAGUUUGUAGAUAAAGAAAUAAUAUAUAUGAAUGAACGUAAGCUAUAGAGAAGAACAUUUUGUGGAAAACUAGAAAUUUGUAGGGAGAAAUAAGAGGAAGAAAGGGAGUAUAAUUUGCUCAAAUAAACUUGUAUUCCAUUCAUAUUUGGUGCCACUAUUUAUAGGGGUAGAGAGGCCUAAAUCAUUUACCACCAAUAAUUGAUAGGUGACAAAUAUAUAAUGAUGAGUAUUAUGAUAGGUUAAUAGUGGCCAGUAAUUGGGGAGGGUUCCCUCUCUCUCUCUGACUCCCUCACUUUGGAUUCUGUAUUGAUUGUUCCAUCCUUACAUCAUAAUCUCUUAUAUGUUGCCCAAAUUACUACAUCUUUGAAUUGCAUUGUAACCUUUUGGCCUACACAUUGUGUUUUUUAGGACAUUCUCAGCAGCAAGACGAUUGGUUGUGGUACUAGGACGGGCAAACUCUACUAUCUGGACUUGGCAUCUGACAGUGAAGCCAGCCUCAGUCAAGCUUACAAAAUUGGGGUUACGAGUGUUGAGAAGCAAACUUUCGGAGUAUGGUUAUGACAUCGCCGACUUGGACAUGCUUCAUUUGGAUAUUUACAGAAGCUAUUUUCUUCCUUAUUUUUCCAGUUAGAUAUCUCUAGUUUUACGUGUAACAUCUGUGAAAUAGCCAAGAGCCAUCGUGUUCCUUUCCCUUUAAGUUCACAUAAAAGUUUGGUUCCUUUUUCUCUUGUUCAUUAUGAUAUUUGGGGCCCGCUAAAAUUACCACUCUCGGGGGAGCUAGAUGGUUUGUCGCGUUUAUCGAUGAUUGCACACGUAUGACCUGGGUUUCCCUUCUUCAAACAAAAGGAGAAGUCAGUUUCAAGUUUCAACAGUUCUAUCACAUGGUGGAGACACAAUUUCAUACAAGAAUUCAAGUUCUUCGGUCUGACAAUGGCGGAGAAUUUUUCUACCAUAAUCUUACUCAAUUCUUACAAGAUCAUGGCAUCAUACAUCAACGCUCAUGCCCUUACACUCCCCAACAGAAUGGUGUGGCUGAACGAAAGAAUAAACACUUAUUGGAAGUGGUUCGUGCCUCUCUCUUUGGUGCCAAUAUGCCUCGGUCUUUCUGGGGAGAAGACGUCCUCUUUGUAGCAUACCUUAUCAAUCUGAUUCCCUCCAGUAUCCUUAAUUUCCAAACCCCCCCUUCAAACACUCUACCACCAUAUCCAAAUACCUUAUACCAAAAACCUAGAACUACGGAUUUUUGGUUGUGUGGUCUUUGUCUUCUUACAUGAUCACUAACACAACAAAUUGAAUCCCCGCGCCAAAAAGUGUGUUUUUAUUGGUUAUGCACCUCAUUAGAAAGGUUACCGGUGUUAUGAUUCUCCUAGUCAGAAGGUCUAUACUUCUAUGGCUGUUGUGUUCCGAGAACACGACAUAUAUUUUUCAGCCAUACAGGAGGAGCAUUGCGAUGCCAACACAUCUCAAAUUUCAAGACUUUUCCUUUCAGAAUUGUCACAUACUGAAAACGACCAGUUGCAGAAUGCAAGCGACCGGUCGCCGAAGACUCUGCCUGAAAACGACCGGUCGCCUAAGACUCUGCCUGAAAGCGACCGGUCGUCCCCCGGAAAUCCGAAUCUGCUUCAAAACGACCGGUUGUCUCUCUGUUGUCAAACUCAGGAGGAGAACAUUGAGGAGUUUUUGCCCGCUCAGGAGAAUUCUUUAACUCCAGUACCCCACCAAUCACCUGCUGAGGACGUCAUUCAGGUAACCUCUUUUCCUGAAACUAAUAACAUUAAUGAAAUAUCCUAUGAUGAUUUAAUUUCAGAAGGCACAUAGCCUACAUAUUAGAUUCCAAAAUGGAAGAACGGUGGAAAACCUUCAGUUCACUACGAAGCAGACCUUAAUGCAAAAUGGAAAUAUCCCAUCGACAAUUAUGUAUCCAUCAGUAGAUUAUCGGAAUCACGGGUACACUUUGUGAAGCAGUUGGAUGGCAUACCUGUUCCCAACAAUGUAACUGAAACACUAGAAGACUCAACAUGGAAAGAAGCCAUGAAUGAAGAAAUGCAAGCUCUUCAGAAGAAUGACACAUGGGAACUCGUGCCAUUACCUCAUGGAAAGAAGACUGUCGGAUGCAGGUGGAUUUAUACUGUGAAACUCAAAGUAGAUGGAUCCAUUAAAAGAUAUAAAGCUAGAUUGGUGGGGAAAUGCUACACACAAAGAUAUGGGAUAGACUACCAUUAGACUUUUACCCCAGUAGCCAAGAUUAAAACUAUCAGAGUUCUUCUAUCUUUAGCAGCAAAUCUCGAUUGGCCAUUACAUCAGUUUGUUGUAAAAAAUGCAUUCUUACAUGGAGACUUGGAAGAAGAAGUAUAUAUGGACUUGCCACAAGAAUGUAACUUAGCUCGUGACAAGGAGAAUCAAGUUUGCAAGCUCUGAAAGUCAUUGUAUGGGUUAAAGCAAUCCUCUAGGGCAUGGUUUGGCAGAUUCACUAAAUCUAUGAAGAAUUUUGAAUAUAUACAAAGUAAUGUAGAUCACACCUUGUUCUUGAAGCAUGAUGGAAGAAGACUUACUGCACUGAUUGUUUAUGUGGAUGACAUAGUCGUAACUGGAAACGACACAGAAGAGCAAUUGACACUGCAGAAAUAUUUGUCUCAGGAAUUUGAGAUGAAGAAUCUAGGUGAUCUGAAGUACUUUAUAGGAAUUGAAGUAGCUAGGUCCAAAACUAGUAUAUUUCUGUCUUAAAAGAAGUAUGUAUUAGAUCUGCUCACUGAAAUAGGAAUGCUUGGAUGCAAACCUGCUGAUACACCCAUCGAGAUGAAUCACAAGUUAUGUGAAGACAUGGAUCAAGAACCAACCAAUAAGGAACAGUACCAACACCUUGUUGGAAGGUUGAUAUAUUUAGCUCACACAAGACCAGAUAUUGCAUAUGCUGUGAGUAUGGUUAGUCAGUUUAUGCAUUCACCCAGUGUGUCCCAUAGGAAUGCAGUUGAUCGGAUCUUAAGAUACUUAAAGUCAGCACAUGGAAAAAGGGUUAACAUUCUAAAAAAAUAGAGAUCUCAAAGUUGUUGGAUAUACAAAUGCUGAUUGGGCUGGCUCCGUUACUGACAGACGCUCUACUUCAGGUUACUUCACUUGUGGGAGGUAACCUAGUCACUUGGCGGAGUGAAAAACAAAAUGUGGUUUCUCGAUCUAGUGCUGAAGUAGAGUAUUGAGGAAUGGCUCACGGAGUUUGUGAAUUACUAUGGAUCAGAAGACUAUUGACAGAAUUGGGGUUUAAGCCAGGAAAGCCAAUGGAGUUACAUUGUGAUAACAAGUCAGCCAUCGAUAUUGCCCAUAGUCCAAUUCAACAUGAUCGAACUAAACAUGUUGAGGUGGAUAGACAUUUUAUCAAAGAAAAACUUGAGAAGAAGAUCAUCCGCCUACCGUUGGUAAAAUUAGAAGAUUAGUUGGCAAAUAUCUUAACCAAAGCUGUUUGUGGAAGAGUAUUUUCUGACUCACGUACCAAGUUGGGCAUUGGUGACAUAUAUGCACCAACUUGAGGAGGAGUGUCGACUUGAGUCUCCUAAUUAAUCAAGGAGGUUUACUUCCUUGAUUAAUUAAGGGAUUUACUUUCCUAUUUUUUAUAUAGUUGAUAAAUCAUUGUAUAAUUAGAAGAUACUUGCCUAAUUCUUUACUGUAUCUAAUUCCUUGUAUAGCACCCUGUAAACUCUUAUAUAUACCUCAUUAUGGAGAAGAAUAAAGUUAACCUAAUACAUUCAAAUCAUAUUCAUAUUUUAGCAUUCUCCUCAUCUCCUCUGAGGUCUCAACUACUCCAACUCGUGAGUUUCUCACUUUAAAUUAGUAAUUGUAUCUUCCUUUCCAGUAACGAUUUGUAAAUUUAGGCACAUUUUAAUUAUAAGGUGCACUGGUCUUGAAAAUGAUUAUGCUUCGAACUCUUUUUCUACAUGAAGGGCUAGUGGUUGCACCUGCAUGGCUUAAUUUGCACCUUAUUAAAUACAAACCUAGCUAUGAUUGUUAUAAGUUAUGUAUAUUGUUUUUGCUCUAUAUAUAAAGUUUUUGUUUGUUCUCUUAGAGGAGAGUAUAGUGGUGGCGGAGCCACUUCUAGGCCAGGAGCGGCCCUGGUCCCUUUAUUUUUUUUGACUUCUCUCCUAUAUUAUAUAAUGUAAUAUAUACAACUUACUAAUAGACAACUUGUAAUUCAAAUUAAUGGCCCCUUUAAAAAUAAUUAGGCAUGACUAAUUUUGAAAAUUUUAGCUCUAACAUGUGUUUUGAACACUUAUAUGUAUUUGAUAUACUUGUGUUUUCUAUCUUGGCCCCCUCAAUCUUAAAUUUCUAGCUUCGCCCGGUGAUGAUUUUCUAGAUGACCAUGGUGACGGACGUGGAGGGUAUGGCCACAGACAUGGAGGGUAUGGCCAUGGCCACCACGGCAAAGGGGGGCCUUGUGCUGCUAAGACUGAAACCAAGAAUUAGAUAACCUGUUAGUUUCUGUGACUUACGUUGCAGGUGUGUUGUAAGGGUAGUAGUACAAAAUAAAGUUGUUUGGUUGAGUAAUCUGUAUGAAC